This 459-nucleotide ribosomal RNA is filed under the name uncultured bacterium. Its description in RNAcentral is "partial 16S ribosomal RNA". It matches the Rfam family "Bacterial small subunit ribosomal RNA", at positions 338 to 795 of the family's 1533-position model. The record is from RNAcentral.
CCUACGGGAGGCAGCAGUGAGGAAUAUUGGUCAAUGGUCGGGAGACUGAACCAGCCAAGCCGCGUGAGGGAUGAAGGUACAGAGUAUCGUAAACCUCUUUUGUCAGGGAACAAAGGCGGGGACGUGUCCCCGGCUGAGUGUACCUGAAGAAAAAGCAUCGGCUAACUCCGUGCCAGCAGCCGCGGUAAUACGGAGUAUGCGAGCGUUAUCCGGUUUUAUUGGGGUUAAAGGGUGCGCAGUCGGUCUGUUAAGUCAGCGGUAAAAGCCCGGGGCUCAACCCCGGCCCGCCGUUGAAACUGGCAGUCUCGAGUUGGAGAGAAGUAGGCGGAAUGCGCGGUGUAGCGGUGAAAUGCAUAGAUAUCGCGCAGAACUCCGAUUGCGAAGGCAGCAUGCCGGAUCCACACUGACGCUGAGGCACGAAAGCGUGGGUAUCGAACAGGAUUAGAUACCCUUGUAGUC